RNAcentral lists this transfer RNA (72 nucleotides) under Verrucomicrobiota bacterium. Its description in RNAcentral is "Verrucomicrobia bacterium tRNA-Thr". It matches the Rfam family "tRNA". Rfam says of the family: Transfer RNA (tRNA) molecules are approximately 80 nucleotides in length. Their secondary structure includes four short double-helical elements and three loops (D, anti-codon, and T loops). The record is from RNAcentral. Lineage: Bacteria; Pseudomonadati; Verrucomicrobiota.
GCCGGCGUAGCUCAAUGGUAGAGCAACGGUUUUGUAAACCGUAGGUUGUCAGUUCGAUUCUGACCGCCGGCU